Molecule: ribosomal RNA, 77 nt
Filed under: Ruoffia tabacinasalis
Lineage: Bacteria; Bacillati; Bacillota; Bacilli; Lactobacillales; Aerococcaceae
Description: partial 16S ribosomal RNA
Rfam family: Bacterial small subunit ribosomal RNA
Source: RNAcentral
AAUUAUGAGAGUUUGAUCCUGGCUCAGGACGAACGCUGGCGGCGUGCCUAAUACAUGCAAGUCGAACGCACUGACGG